AUUUGAAUGCUGGUGCCCAAACUGCUGUGCAUGUCUAGCCGACCCUGAGGUAGUAAUGCCAGAGGGGGCUACCCAGUGACAAUGCUGACUGCAGGCUCCUUGCUUCCCAUCCCCGUUGGCUCCUGAUGGCUCUUCUAGUCCUGCUUCACUUCCUCAAAAGGCAGAAAUAAGAAAGGGCUCUCUGAGUCUGCACAGAAACCUGCUUGAUAGUUACAAAAACCUUCCCUGAGACCUGUGGCUAAGUUGGGGCCAGUAUUUCCAGGGACCCCCAUGCUAGUUUCUGGCCAUACACUACAUCCCUCUUUUUAGUGCAAAGAUAACUUUCUCACCUUAACAAGGGUGUACCAUUUUCUGGACUUGGUCUAAGAACCACUAACCUUUGCACCUCUUGCUUUCCUGGGCCCCCUUAUCUCUGUCACCUACCAGUGCAGCCGCCCCGAGUUGGCUGAUCUGUUUGUGAAGUCAUUGACACUCUUUGUACUUCUCUAAGAAAUAGGCUUUCCUGGCCUCUACCUUUGCCUUAAGGCGUUCCACCUCUUGUGCUAACUGCUCCUCCACAGUUAGUGCCGCUUUCUUGUUCCUAGGCUCCUGAAGCAUAAGAUACACAGUACUCAUAUUUAGCGGCCUUUUAGGAUGUAUGAGGAAUUAGGAUUGCUAUCAGCCAGGUGGGGAGCCCCUAGGUCUUGAAAAAUAUUCCAUGAAAACUAAGAAAAUUGGCCGGGUGCAGUGGCUCACACCUGUAAUCCCAGCACUUUGGGAGGCCGAGGUGGGUGGAUCACCAGAGGUCAGGAGUUUGAGACCAGCCUAGCCAACAUGGCAAAACCCCAGCAAGACUGAAUGUGGGCUCAAUGUUGCUAGGUCCCUUCAUUUCCCAAAGGAAGUUGGAAAUACAAAUUUUUAUGGGAAAUAUUCCUAUUUUUAAAUGUUGGUAACUACUUUCUAAAACAUUUCUGUGGUCUGACCUUGACCUAUGAUCU
This 977-nucleotide long non-coding RNA is filed under the name Homo sapiens (human). Its description in RNAcentral is "HSALNT0242048". Lineage: Eukaryota; Metazoa; Chordata; Mammalia; Primates; Hominidae. The record is from RNAcentral.